UACAGAGGUCCCGAGCGUUGUUCGGAUUCACUGGGCGUAAAGGGUGCGUAGGUGGUGAGGUAAGUCGGAUGUGAAAGCUCCAAGCUCAACUUGGAAAUGGCAUUGGAAACUACCUUGCUAGAGGGUUUGAGGGGGGACUGGAAUACUUGGUGUAGCAGUGAAAUGCGUAGAUAUCAAGUGGAACACCAGUGGCGAAGGCGAGUCCCUGGAAAACUCCUGACACUGAGGCACGAAAGCUAGGGGAGCAAACCGG
This 253-nucleotide ribosomal RNA is filed under the name uncultured bacterium. RNAcentral's name for it is "partial 16S ribosomal RNA". It matches the Rfam family "Bacterial small subunit ribosomal RNA", at positions 524 to 776 of the family's 1533-position model. The record is from RNAcentral.